GUUCCGCCGAGCCCGUCCCUUGGCGGUGGUGUCACUGGAUGCUGGGAAGAGAUGGUGGGAAGAGCCUCCAUCCAUUGGCGCGUCACUAAUUAGACAAGGAGGCCUUGGGCUCCCUUGAGAGAGUCACGGUUUCUCCUCCGUUGACCCGCCCUUCAUUGAACUCCUUUACUUGGAUAUUCAGAGCGCUGGACAGAGAUCACUUGGCGCUAACACCCUCGGAGGUCCUCACGGCGCUCCGUCGGAAUGACACAGUCGGAUUCCCAAGCUGCGAAGGGUGAGGGAGGGACUGCAGCGCAGGAACUGAGGAGGAGAGGCCCGCGCGCCCACUGGAGCCGAGCGGUGAGGAAUAACCGGACCGACCCCCGACGGUGCGUGCCUCACUUUUAACUUUCUGGAACGCACCCACCACUGCCUGGCUCUUUAUUGCAUCAGCGCCCUUUGAAGUUGCUGAAGGGGAGAAUGUUCAUCUCUCUGUGGUUUAUCUGCCCGAGAAUCUUUACAGCUAUGGCUGGUACAAAGGGAAAACGGUGGAGCCCAACCAGCUAAUCGCAGCAUAUGUAAUAGACACUCACGUUAGGACUCCAGGGCCUGCAUACAGCGGUCGAGAGACAAUAUCACCCAGUGGAGAUCUGCAUUUCCAGAACGUCACCCUAGAGGACACGGGAUACUACAACCUACAAGUCACAUACAGAAAUUCUCAGAUUGAACAGGCAUCUCACCAUCUCCGUGUAUACGAGUCAGUGGCUCAGCCCUCCAUCCAAGCCAGCAGCACCACAGUCACAGAGAAGGGCUCCGUGGUCCUGACCUGCCACACAAAUAACACUGGAACCUCUUUCCAGUGGAUUUUCAACAACCAGCGUCUGCAGGUCACGAAGAGGAUGAAGCUGUCCUGGUUUAACCAUGUGCUCACCAUAGACCCCAUCAGGCAGGAGGACGCUGGGGAGUAUCAGUGUGAGGUCUCCAACCCAGUCAGCUCCAACAGGAGCGACCCCCUCAAGCUGACUGUAAAAUAUGACAACACUCUAGGCAUCCUGAUCGGGGUCCUGGUUGGGAGUCUUCUGGUGGCUGCACUUGUGUGUUUCCUGCUCCUCCGAAAAACUGGCAGGGCCAGCGAUCAGAGUGACUUCAGGGAGCAGCAGCCCCCAGCCUCCACCCCCGGGGUCAAGACCUCUUCUCUGUUUUUACAGGAAUUGCUACACUCUGACACAAACAUUUACUGCUGGAUCGACCACAAAGCAGAUGUGGCUUCUUAGGUUCCUCUGGGAGCUGCUCCUGUGGGUUGAUGGAGCGUCCCUGAAGCCCCCAGCCCUGGGGAUGGGGAAGGACAUGGAGCCUGAGCCAGAGAACCAGCUCUGAGUCCUGAGGAGACACAGGCCUGGGGACAGGAAGGGAUGGGGGUCCCUGCUGAAUAUAUAGAGACCUCAACAGACUGCCCCGGGCUCUGGGUGGGCCAAGGCGAAGGCUUCCCAUCACCACAGGAAGUGGGGGCUUGCAGGGAAAGUGAAUGGGCCUAUGGCCCACCCGGGGUCACCUG
RNAcentral lists this unclassified non-coding RNA (1534 nucleotides) under Homo sapiens (human). Its description in RNAcentral is "CEA cell adhesion molecule 21 (ENSG00000278565.4)". The record is from RNAcentral. Lineage: Eukaryota; Metazoa; Chordata; Mammalia; Primates; Hominidae.